UACGUAGGGCGCAAGCGUUAUCCGGAAUUAUUGGGCGUAAAGAGCUCGUAGGCGGUUUGUCGCGUCUGCCGUGAAAGUCCGGGGCUCAACUCCGGAUCUGCGGUGGGUACGGGCAGACUAGAGUGAUGUAGGGGAGACUGGAAUUCCUGGUGUAGCGGUGAAAUGCGCAGAUAUCAGGAGGAACACCGGUGGCGAAGGCGGGUCUCUGGGCAGUUACUGACGCUGAGGAGCGAAAGCGUGGGGAGCGAACAGG
Molecule: ribosomal RNA, 253 nt
Filed under: uncultured bacterium
Lineage: Bacteria
Description: partial 16S ribosomal RNA
Rfam family: Bacterial small subunit ribosomal RNA
Source: RNAcentral